UCAGAAGAGGCGCGUUGACCAGGUACGCAAUAAUAAGGGCACAUUCCCUGAUUAUUAUUGCGAAGGGGGAGCAACGCCGAGUGAGACGCACGAAUGUGAGUGCUGAUUGCGGUCAAGUGGGCUGAAUCCCACUGAUUGUCACCUGAGUUUAGGUGGAGAGCUUCUGGU
Molecule: non-coding RNA, 168 nt
Filed under: uncultured Shewanella sp.
Lineage: Bacteria; Pseudomonadati; Pseudomonadota; Gammaproteobacteria; Alteromonadales; Shewanellaceae
Description: Lysine riboswitch
Rfam family: Lysine riboswitch aptamer
About the family: Riboswitches are metabolite binding domains within certain messenger RNAs that serve as precision sensors for their corresponding targets. Allosteric rearrangement of mRNA structure is mediated by ligand binding, and this results in modulation of gene expression.
Source: RNAcentral